AUUGAACGCUGGCGGCAUGCCUUACACAUGCAAGUCGAACGGUAACAGGUUAAGCUGACGAGUGGCGAACGGGUGAGUAAUACAUCGGAACGUGCCCAGUAGUGGGGGAUAGCCCGGCGAAAGCCGGAUUAAUACCGCAUACGACCUAAGGGUGAAAGGGGGGGAUCGCAAGACCUCUCGCUAUUGGAGCGGCCGAUGUCAGAUUAGCUAGUUGGUGGGGUAAAAGCUCACCAAGGCGACGAUCUGUAGCUGGUCUGAGAGGACGACCAGCCACACUGGGACUGAGGCACGGCCCAGACUCCUACGGGAGGCAGCAGUGGGGAAUUUUGGACAAUGGGCGCAAGCCUGAUCCAGCCAUGCCGCGUGCGGGAAGAAGGCCUUCGGGUUGUAAACCGCUUUUGUCAGGGAAGAAAUCCUUUGGGUUAAUACCUCGGGGGGAUGACGGUACCUGAAGAAUAAGCACCGGCUAACUACGUG
Molecule: ribosomal RNA, 477 nt
Filed under: uncultured bacterium
Lineage: Bacteria
Description: partial 16S ribosomal RNA
Rfam family: Bacterial small subunit ribosomal RNA
Source: RNAcentral